This 1150-nucleotide long non-coding RNA is filed under the name Mytilus galloprovincialis (Mediterranean mussel). Lineage: Eukaryota; Metazoa; Mollusca; Bivalvia; Mytilida; Mytilidae. The record is from RNAcentral.
GUUGUAUAACUUGAUUUUUAGUUUUUGAUAAUAUAUUUUACUGAUUCCUAAUAUUUUUGUACUCAACUUUGUUAUGUUUUACACAAAAAUAACGAACCAUUGAGGUGUGUUUUCUGGACUUUGCCAAAGGACGACGAAAUCAACAUCGUAACAGAAUAUCAUGCGAUAAUAACCGGAAGUAGCUGAUAUAAAACGGAAACAGCUGAUAAAAACCGCAGGCAAGUGAUAACAAAAGUGAUAUCACAGGGCUGAAGUAAUUCUUCAAGUUUAACGAAAAAUAUAACUUUUAGCAUUGGGUACAAUUAUGUCAUUAUUUUCUAUGAGAAUAUGAUAAAAAAAUUAUGCUUACCUGUAUUUAGUUUGUUACAUGAUGAAUUUUUGGUUGCUCAGUUUUAAUGUUCACUGAUUGUAUGAUAUUAAGAUUUUUUGGUAUUCUGACCACUAUACAUAUUAAUUGAUAUAGUCCAUUGAUUGUUUAACAUCACUCGCGGGUUUAAUGUUGAAUAUCGUAUUGGUCAGUUGAAUUGGCGGAUAAAGCCAGAGUGCUCCGAGCCACCAAUCUUCGGUUAGAAAAUAUUGUUACACUCCUGUUCUAAUGUUAUACUUUAUAAUUUCUAUUUUUGAAACACGUGUAAAUUGAAUAGAUCUUUUGUUACGAAUAACAAUGGAUUUUGACCACAGGGUGUGACUAGAGAGGUUUCUGGAAACCCCUGCUUCUACAUCCCGCAAACAAAGUCCAUUAUAUACGGAACAAUAGAAAUUGAUUAUUCUUUACAUAGCAUGAUCAUAAGAAAUUAUUAAUAGUGUUCACUACAAAUUGUUUCAAGAUAUUAAAAAUUUUUUUUUUAGGAAAUUCCAAUAGCGACAAAACAAUUAAGCAUCUAUUUUAAAUAAAAAAAUAAUCAUUUAAUUACUGCUUUGCUGAAGCAAUAUUUUUUAUACCAGUCUUAUGUCUCUAUUCUAAAGCAUUGGUCUUUUUUUAAAAGGGGAGAUUCUUACUCUCGGAACACCCCACUCGUUUUCGAGUGGUCGAUCCAGGAUAUCCGGGGUAGGGGUUCCGCGGGUUGGACCCGAUUUAAAAGAUCAAUAUAUUUGAAUGAUUGGAACCCCAUCCCCUAUCUUGAGUUGGGAACCCUCAGCUUGAUCAUCC